This 5395-nucleotide long non-coding RNA is filed under the name Lactuca sativa (garden lettuce). RNAcentral's name for it is "long non-coding RNA (LSAT_LNC004875)". Lineage: Eukaryota; Viridiplantae; Streptophyta; Magnoliopsida; Asterales; Asteraceae. The record is from RNAcentral.
AGAUCAUUAAGGGUCAUGUCGUGAUCUAUCAUCAUGGAGUGACUAGAGAACCAAGUCAACAACCAGCUACCUCGAGACUUUGACACCUGAAUCUCCUGGCUUGUCAAUAUGGGACUUAAUCUCCAAGACCUAUGAACAUAUAGACUUUGUUUGCCAAUAGGGAUUGAGUGACUUAGAAUUUAUCAGGUCUUGAAACUUGUGGGAUAGGGAGAUUUAUUAGAGGAGGUGGAGGAAGCGAAGUAUGAUUUCCAUGUUGGGUUUUGAGCAAUCUAACACUCCUAAGUGUACAUGCAACCCUAAAUACCUUGGAUCUAUGUUUUCUCUAUUAUACAUCCAAUUAUGAACUUUCCAAGGUAUUGUUCUAUUCUAGCAUACAAAACUUUGAAUAACACAAGUUAGAAUACCAUACCUUUUGUUGGUGCUUGUCUUCAUGAAGCUUGAGUGCCUAGUGCCCCAAGUGUGACACCUCAAAUGGUUCACACAACACCAUAAGCACUUGGAAUAACUUAGAGAGAAAUUAGAACACUUCAAGAAUUGGCUUGCCCUCCAUGCAUAUCAUAGUCACCAAUUUUCCCAAGAAAGAGAUCAUUAUAUAGUGUGUUACAAUUAGGGUAAACCCUAAUUGUCAUGGCUAUCCAUUUCCAUGGAUCCAUGGGUUCAAAUACACCAUGGAGCAUCCAAUGGGUUUUAGCCCAACUUGAUAAUCCAUGGAGCAUUAGCCCACUAUAUAAGUAUGGAUGAUUUACACAAUCAACCCAUAUAUUUAAUUAGUCUUCUUUUGAUCACAUAAUUAAUUCUAAAUUAAUUAUUGAUCAAUACUAAUUAAAUAAUCUUAUUAAUAUAUUAGAACUUAUAAUAUAUUAAUAAACCUUAAGUGUUAUUUCUCUCAUUUUAGUCUAUCCAAGUGCAUGAUGCCAUGCAACCCAAAUGGACCAUGCCGGGUCGGGUCAAGUCUUACCAAUUAUAGUUAUGGACUUAGACAUUAAUCCAACAGUCUCCCACUUGGAUAAGUCUAAAACUAUUAUUGCAAGUAUGACUUCAGAACCCGACUAGCAAUCGUAGCUCUCAAAAGCUUCUGUCGAUCUCUGACCUUGUCGAUGAACUCUGACCUUUGUCAAUGACUUGUCCAUUAGAUAAGUGAUCAUAUAUUCCUCCAUUCUAGAUAUCAUAUGGACUGAGACAUGGAUUAUAAUCAUUCUCUCUGUCCAUUUGUUGUUUCCCGAUUUCUGAUUUAUGACGACUGACUAAUUGAACAAAUCAAAUCAGUCCAGGCCCGGCCGAGCACUUACUUUUGUCAUCACUAAAUCAUCGAGGGGCCCACAGAUAUCGCUUUUAUCCCUUUGAGGGUAAAAGGAAUGGAUAAACUUCGACUCAUAUGCUUGUACUGAAUACUUGUUGAAUCAUACACGAAGGCACGUUUUAUAGCAUCGAGUUACCACUGCGUUUUCGUACAAUCAAUGUAUAACCAACUCAUAGGCAACAACUCAUAUCUCUAGGUUUGAAGAAUAUAAGAUAUUAUCGUCUCAUGAUUCACUCGUGAUAAAAUCCAUGAAGUGAAUCCAAAUGAGCGUGGGUUGAAUCCAAUACUCAGCCCUUAUGAGUACUCAUGAAUGUUGUAGCAACUAUUGCAUUGUCUAAAGCACUUUAGACAAAUCAUACAAGCCAAAUUCACGACAGUCUUGAUUCAUAUCUACUUCCAACAUAUGACCGACUGUGGAUGGUUUGAAUAACUUGGUCAUUCAGGAGAAUGACCUAGUUAUUCUGGAAGUCAAAACAUGCAAAGUGAAACACAAAAUAAUACUAGUCCUAUAUGGCCUCAACACUUGCAGCUUAAAUAAAACACCUUUUAUCUAAGCACCAUAUUGAUCACUCAUUAUUCAUGUUUCGAUUAAUCAACUUAAUACUUGAAUUGAAACAGUAGUGAUGCCAUGCUCCAAGCAUGCAUAAUAUGUUUCUCUAAACAAUAGCUAUGUCAUACUUCAAAUAUGCACACUAUGUUUACAUAUGGUCAUCUCUUUGUGAAAUGUAUAUCAAUUGAACAUGACUUCAAUGAUUCUCAUUUCACAAUCCCAAUCCUUAUUGUAAAUGUAAGAAUACCAAGUUCUUGUCAUUUACCGUAAUCUAUGCAAUGAUCCUCUUGUAAUGAUAUUCACACAAGUCACAAAGACUUGGCAACAAACAUCACAAAGUAUUCCAAUGGAAAGCGAUUCCAUGGGGAUGAAGUCUCAAAUUCAAAGUACAUUCCUUUGAACAUCCUUCUUUGCAUUAAGUUCUUUAAUCUUACACAGAUUCAAAGAAUAACUUCCACCUAUGGAAACAAUUCCAUAUUCCCAUCUUGACCAUCACUUUUGAACAAGAGUUGCCUCUUUCCAAAAUAUGUCAAUACGAUCCUUACUCUAUACUUCCAAUUGUCCAUGAGUAACCAAACUUUGGAAAACCCCAAAUUGUUCUCGACAAUUGCUUAAUCAUCUUAGUCAUAUCCAGUUCUAAUCCCUUUUCCCUUCUUAACGCCCUAAGCAUUAGGAAAAUUUAGAAUGGAUGAAUAUUAUAACACAUGCAAUCGAUCCUAUAUCCGAAGCAUAUGGGAUACGAUUCAUGCUAUAAAAUUUUUAUUUGCCAUGUUCUCAUAAUUCGAACUAUGAAGAGGGAUGCCGUAAUCAUAAUCGAAUUUUGAGAAAGCAACAUAUAUAGAAAUUCCUUAUGUUGAACCAUUCCAACAUAACAUUCAUAUAUAUUCUUGACUAAAGUUGAUUAAAAUCUCAAUCUAAGCUUGUAGAAUUGGAAUGAAGUAUAAAUUUCUCUCCCUUAAUUAUAGUAAAACAACUUUUUCAAAGCGAGUUGAAACUUUUGUUUUCUAUAAUUAACAUUGCUAACUUGCAACAUAAUCAUCAUGCUCCCACUAGCAUAAUGAUUAUUAUCUAACUAGCAUAACACUUUAUGCUCCCACUAGCUUUGACAUGUACCUAGAAAUCAGUCAGAUUUCUGAUACUAGAUUGCCUUGAUAAGACUUUAUCAAAUCAUACACCUGGAGUCUAAACCUUUCCUUAGAUAGCUCACAUGUGAGUCUAAACCUUUGCCAUUCUCAUUAGUUAGUGUGCCGGUUAACCACACACGCUCCACUAACGACAUGAGAAUGCAAACUUCACACUUGCUAUCCACUUAAAUCUACUUAGUGAAAGAGUUUCCUCACUAUCAUUUUCAUGAAUCGGAGAGAAACCUUAUGACACUUAGAUUUUGAUGGUGUAUGUGUUCCUAUCCAUGUGAAUUUGACAUAACCAUAAUCACACGACAAGGUUAAUGACAAAUCCAAAUUCAUAUGGACUGAACUUGUGCAGUCUUAAUUUCUUGCCACCUGGUAGCACAAGGGCCUGCCAUUGCUUCCAAGUUGUUAUGCAACCAGUUGAGAACUCUCAGAACUCCAAUGCAAAACCAACUUUAACUGGAAUGGGCACAGAAUAUGUCAACACGAUAGGUUACAAACCUCAAGUCGUGGUCUAGUGAUUAACAAAACUCUUGAUUAGUUCUUGAAUCUAUCUUAAGAUCCUUUUAAGACUCCCACUGACCUCUUGACAUAUAAGAUUCUCUUUGUCAAGAACCAUUCCUUGACAAAAACGAAUAUUCAAGAGUUAGUGCAGAUUCUUAUCAAGUUAAACACUUCUCACAAUUGGUCUUAGUUGGUCUUUGUUUUAUCCAAAACAUCACAACUUACCAAUUUCAAAUGUACAAGAGUAAGAACACAUUUUACUCUACAUUUAACAAGUGUUUUAAACCUUUCUUAAGAUUAUGUCACUCAAGGCUUAAUCUUGGAGUAUGACUCUAAGAUUUAAUUUUGGAACGAAGUAUAAUUUAUCUUUUGAUCUAACCAUUUCAACAAUUCACGAUUCCUCUCCUUAGCCAAACAAAAUGAACUAAGGUGUCCUUAGAGGAUCAAUUGUGACAUGGUUUCAUAAUCACUAAGAUAAUCAUAAAACAAGAUACUCAAGUACUCUCCCAUCUCUUCAGAUUAGAGAAACUUUUAUCUUUCUGCCUUAUUUGAUUCUUCUUACUCAUUAUGUCUAUCAUUGAAACUUCUCCAAUGAUCCAGAACUAUACUUAAACUUGUAAGUAUAACCAUAUUUACUAAACUUUAGUAAAUCAUAAUGAAUAAUCUUAUCAACUUUGUGGUGGACCUGAUCAGCGCACACCCAAGUGUAUCCGAUCCCUUUGUCCUUCACUUGAUUCACAUAUACAUGUGAACAAGGAAUUAGACUUAAUUUCCCAAAUAUAAAAAAAAUUCUCAUGAUCAUACAAUACAAGUUGCAUGAUUCCAAGUUUCUAUCCAACUGAAACUUGGGUGAUGAGAAUCUUUCCUUAUUUGGUAAAUUAUGACACUUCCACUAAUGAAAGAAUCAAAUCCAUUUACCCAUAUUGCUUAUCAAUGGAAACAUAUAAUCAACAAUUUUUCACAAAUGCCAUUGUAAGGAUACUUAAAAUAAAUAAAAUCAAAACCAUUUUUCUUUUUAUUUUAAAACUUUGCGGAAAAAUUUAUCCUUACAAUCCAUAUGGAAAACUUGUUGUUAUCUAUUCCUAAGCAAUAUAUCAUAACUCUUAAGUAACAACUCAAAAUUCUGAUCACCGAACCAUGCGAUCGAAAUCCAUCUUCGCGAUCAGAAUCAGCAUAUACUUCCUUUAAGUUUCUUCACCUUUUCUUUGAUUCUUAAAACAUCAACAUGUGACCUCGUCACAUUAUGCAAUAAGAAUCUCAGAAUAGAAACUUAAUAGAGUUAGACAAUGGACUUUACCUGAAGUAGAGUCAAACCUAUUGACUUUACCAUCCUUAAGAUGUUUCAGGUAAAUUUAGCAGCUUCGCAACCAAUGUCUUUCCUUUGGCAACAGAAUCAUAUGGACUCUUUGGAAACGCUACAUGGGAUUAUCACAUACUUAACCUUUCUCUUUACCAUUUGGUCAACCGAGUUGACUAUGGCCGAUCCCUUUCCAUUGGGAAGAAAAAAAGUUUCCUGGACCUCAAAUGUCACCAUUUUCAAUGUCCAAGUAGGUUUGGAAAGUAGAUCUUCCAAUCCAAUUUGCUUUACUAAUGCUCCAAAUCAUUGCUGAUUUAACAUCAUCAAGCAAAUAGGUAAGAUCAUUAAGGGUCUUGUCGCGACCUGUCAUCUGGGAGUGACUGAAGAACCAAGUCAGCAGCCAGCUACCUCGAGACUUCGACACCCGACUCUCCCGACUUGUCAAUAUGUGGCUUAAUCCCCAAGAUCUAAGCACAUAUGGACUUUGCUUGCCAAUAGGGAUUGAGUGACUUAGAACUUAUCAAGUCUUAAAACUUGUGGGAUAGGGAGAUUUAUUGGAGGAGGUGGAUGAAGUGAAGUAUGAUUUCUAGUCCCACAAAUGCCCAACAAAGGGA